UCAGGGCUGGGGAUUUAGCUCAGUGGUUCUGGCGCCUGCCUCACAACCGAAAUUUCCCGAGUUCAAUCCCCGAUACCAAAACAAACAAACAAACAAACAAAAAGAUUUAAUUUUCCAAGUGAGGCAUUUAAAUUGUACAAGCAAUGAAUCUUUUAAAAACUGAAUGUAAAACCAUUCAGGAUAAUUUUUCUUGUCAGUGGAUAGUGGCAAACAGAGGAGAUCCCAUCUCCAGGAACCAGCCAUUCAGGCAAAAUCCUUUUUUUGUGAAUCAAUAUUUCUCACAGUAAAUGUGGCGUAAGCCGCUCUGACACUAGUGAAAAGGGUAUAUACAACUCUGCAGCGUUGGGCCAGGAUACUAUUUCAUAUUUAACAAAGGGAGGGGAGUGAAGUGUUUUCCAAGGCCUUAUUUCUUUCUCAGAAUGCUUUCAGUGUUGAUUGUAUGUGCUGGGUCUCUAGAGAAGUUUUUGUUACAAUCCUGCUGCUUUGAGCAAUUUUGUUUUUCUUCGUUGUCUGUGAAGGAAAUCACCAGCUUUGCCAUCUUAACAACAAACAUGGGAAAGUUUAUUUCUAACAUGCACCUUUAGAGUCAAAUACACCUUUCCCUUGUACUCCUUAUGUACAGCCAAAGAACACACAUUAUAAAAAUCAUAUAUCUGAAAACACAGCCUUUUCCUCUGACAGGUGACUUUUGUACAAAAUGCCAAAAAAAAAAACCUAAACAUUUUUUGUUGUUCUUUUGUGAUUAUGGCUAUACCAUUAGUAGUCUUUACAGUUUCUAACAGGACCUACUGACAAGUGCAAAUGUGACCAUCUCAUUCACAUGUUUGUUGUUAGGAUGCAGAUGGAUAUUGGUUUCAGUAGAAGCUGGAUCCUUACAAAUUCUGUUGUAAUAUUUCUGUUAAGGUAGGCAUGGCUUGAACUCACAUGAAAUCCUAGAGUUUUGCUGCCAGCAGCUUUGCAGUUUGGGAAACAGAGAAACCAAAGCUGAGUAUUUUAAAGAAUGACUGUAUCUGGAAAUGACACUCAUCAAAGAUGUAGUUUUUCUCAGUGUUCUAAUUUUAAAUUUUUUAUCUGAAUAUUUGCAUCAAAUAUUUCUUUAUGUGGAAAAUGUAUGUUUUACCUCCUUAAAAUGCCUAAAAGUUAGUUACUAGCUACUUUGAAUUAAUCUAUACACAAUGAUUAAGUGCAUUUAAUAUUGGUAAUUUAAUGAAAAGCAUUCCUUGCCCAGUGGAUGUAUACAUUUUUGAAAGAAUAAAGCAGAAUUAUAUAAUACGAAAUGCUAUGUAAAGUUUUCUAUGUAAAAAUAAUAUGUAUAAUACUGUUAAAAUAUCCCAUGCUUUGAUCAGGUGGUAAAUCAAUAAAGUUUUCAAAAGUAAAGCUGUUUUUAAUGUAAUAGUAAUUGUACACAUCAAGCCAGUUUUCAGUUAGUUCGAAUUUGACCUCAUGGCAAACAUAAACUUGUAAUUUUCAAAUGACAGCAAAGCCCCUAUAUUUAACAAAAAUAAUUAUUCAUAGAAG
Molecule: long non-coding RNA, 1518 nt
Filed under: Heterocephalus glaber (naked mole-rat)
Lineage: Eukaryota; Metazoa; Chordata; Mammalia; Rodentia; Bathyergidae
Description: lncRNA (ENSHGLG00100050876.1)
Source: RNAcentral